AUCAAUAAGCGGAGGAAAAGAAACUAACAAGGAUUCCCUGAGUAACGGCGAGUGAAACGGGACAAGCCCAGCACCGAAUCCACUGCCGCCUGUUGGCAGAGGGACCUGUGGUGUGUGGGACGGCAGCAUCGGGAUGGUGAGCUGGGCAUCUGCGUCUCCUUGAUCGGGGCCUCUCCCACGGCGGGUGUUGGGCCUGUACGCAUGCCUGGUCUACUCAUCUCCCUGCUCCGUCCUCGGAGUCGGGUUGUUUGGUAAUGCAACCUAAAGUGGGUGGUAAGCUCCAUCUAAGGCUAAAUACGACCACGAGACCGAUAGUCGACAAGUACCGUAAGGGAAAGUUGAAAAGAACUUUGAAGAGAGAGUUCAAUAGUACGUGAAACUGCUUAGAAGGAAACGGAUGGGCGUGCGCGUACCAUGCCACCCGGGGGAUUCAACUGGCCGUCAGCAGCAGCAGCGGGCUCGCUUCCAAGGAGGUGGACCCAUCCCUGCUCCGCCUGUGGCCGGUGCACGUCCGCCGUGCGUGGCAGCCGCGUCCGGUCGCCAUCCGCCCGUCGAGCCCGGGGACGAGAGCGUGGCGCAACGGCCGUCGGCACCUCGGUGUCGGCGGCACCAAACGUUGCCCGCGUCUCCCACGACCGGGGCACUCGCUGGCGGGAGGCGACCGAGCACAUGCAGUCUAUGUUGGCACCCGACGCGGCGUGCGGUGGACGCGCGACGGCAGCACCCCUCACGGGCGCACGGUCGUCGUUAGCGUACGCGUCAGCACGCCGCACCACUGGGAGCUACGCGGUUUUGGUCAGUCACCAACCCAUCC
Molecule: ribosomal RNA, 814 nt
Filed under: Ephesiella sp. SPH155
Lineage: Eukaryota; Metazoa; Annelida; Polychaeta; Phyllodocida; Sphaerodoridae
Description: eukaryotic LSU rRNA
Rfam family: Eukaryotic large subunit ribosomal RNA
Source: RNAcentral